RNAcentral lists this ribosomal RNA (814 nucleotides) under uncultured organism. RNAcentral describes it as "bacterial SSU rRNA". It matches the Rfam family "Bacterial small subunit ribosomal RNA", at positions 507 to 1337 of the family's 1533-position model. The record is from RNAcentral.
GCCAGCAGCGCGGGUAAAACGUAGGGGACAAGCGUUAUCCGGAUUCACUGGGCGUAAAGAGCGUUGAGGCGGUUCCGUAAGUUGGGCGUGAAAGCUCCGGGCUUAACCCGGAGAUGUCGUUCAAUACUGCGGGGCUUGAGGACAGCAGAGGAAGGUGGAAUUCCCGGUGUAGUGGUGAAAUGCGUAGAUAUCGGGAGGAACACCCGUGGCGAAGGCGGCCUUCUGGGCUGUUCCUGACGCUGAAGGCGAAAGCUAGGGGAGCGAACGGGAUUAGAUACCCCGGUAGUCCUAGCUGUAAACGAUGGAUGCUGGGUGUGGGGGGUGUAAAUUCCCUCUGUACCGAAGCAAACGCGUUAAGCAUCCCGCCUGGGGACUACGGCCGCAAGGCUAAAACUCAAACGAAUUGACGGGGGCCCGCACAAGCAGCGGAGCGUGUGGUUUAAUUCGAUGCUACACGAAGAACCUUACCUGGGUUUGACAUGCACGUGGUAGGGAACCGAAAGGGGACCGACCUUCGGGAGCGUGCACAGGUGCUGCAUGGCUGUCGUCAGCUCGUGCCGUGAGGUGUCGGGUUAAGUCCCGUAACGAGCGCAACCCUUGCCCUUAGUUACAAGUGUCUAAGGGGACUGCCCGGGACAACUGGGAGGAAGGUGGGGAUGACGUCAAGUCAGCAUGGCCUUUAUAUCCAGGGCUACACACACGCUACAAUGGCCAGUACAAUAGGUAGCCAAGUCGUGAGACGGAGCCAAUCCUUAAAGCUGGUCUCAGUUCGAAUUGCAGUCUGCAACUCGACUGCAUGAAGCUGGAGUUGCUA